GUGCCAGCAGCCGCGGUAAUACGUAGGGUCCGAGCGUUAUCCGGAAUCAUUGGGCGUAAAGAGCUCGUAGGCGGUUCAGCAAGUCGGCUGUGAAAGUUCGAGGCUUAACCUCGAAAUUGCAGUCGAUACUGCUGUGACUCGAGUCCGGUAGAGGAGAAUGGAAUUCCCGGUGUAGCGGUGAAAUGCGCAGAUAUCGGGAGGAACACCAGUAGCGAAGGCGGUUCUCUGGGCCGGCACUGACGCUGAGGAGCGAAAGCGUGGGGAGCAAACAGGAUUAGAUACCCUGGUAGUCCACGCCGCAAACGAUGGACACUAGGUGUGGCGGUCUACCAACGACUGCCGUGCCGAAGCUAACGCAUUAAGUGUCCCGCCUGGGGAGUACGGCCGCAAGGCUAAAACUCAAAGGAAUUGACGGGUCCCCGCACAAGCGGCGGAGCAUGCGGCUUAAUUCGAUGCAACCCGAAGAACCUUACCUGGGUUUGACAUCACGGGAAAAGCUGUGGAAACACAGUGUCCAUUAGGGCCCGUGACAGGUGGUGCAUGGCUGUCGUCAGC
Molecule: ribosomal RNA, 555 nt
Filed under: uncultured Actinomycetes bacterium
Lineage: Bacteria; Bacillati; Actinomycetota; Actinomycetes
Description: bacterial SSU rRNA
Rfam family: Bacterial small subunit ribosomal RNA
Source: RNAcentral